ACGGAGGCCGCGCUCAAUCUGGUCCGCUCCUCGGGGAGUCGUCAGGACCGGAGCCGGGGACCCAAGUACGUGGGGUGAAUCCGGGAAGCGGCGUCGCCGACCGUGACGCCAGGACCUGGUAGGGCUUUCUUUGGGCCCGAAUCCGUCAGCUCACCUGGUAGGCGUUCGACAAAGAGGAG
RNAcentral lists this small RNA (179 nucleotides) under Nocardioides scoriae. Its description in RNAcentral is "Marmoricola scoriae c-di-AMP sequence". It matches the Rfam family "c-di-AMP riboswitch aptamer (ydaO/yuaA leader)". From Rfam's summary of the family: This family represents a conserved RNA structure found upstream of the ydaO and yuaA genes in Bacillus subtilis and related genes in other bacteria. Lineage: Bacteria; Bacillati; Actinomycetota; Actinomycetes; Propionibacteriales; Nocardioidaceae. The record is from RNAcentral.